Molecule: ribosomal RNA, 253 nt
Filed under: uncultured bacterium
Lineage: Bacteria
Description: partial 16S ribosomal RNA
Rfam family: Bacterial small subunit ribosomal RNA
Source: RNAcentral
UACAGAGGUCCCAAGCGUUGUUCGGAUUCACUGGGCGUAAAGGGUGCGUAGGCGGUCGGGUAAGUCUGACGUGAAAUCUCCGGGCCUAACCCGGAAACUGCGUUGGAAACUGCCUGGCUAGAGGAAUGGAGGGGAGACUGGAAUACUUGGUGUAGCAGUGAAAUGCGUAGAUAUCAAGUGGAACACCAGUGGCGAAGGCGAGUCUCUGGACAUUUCCUGACGCUGAGGCACGAAAGCCAGGGGAGCAAACAGG